This 72-nucleotide transfer RNA is filed under the name Magnaporthiopsis poae ATCC 64411. Its description in RNAcentral is "tRNA-Ala (CGC) (tRNA-Ala-CGC-1-1)". It matches the Rfam family "tRNA". Rfam says of the family: Transfer RNA (tRNA) molecules are approximately 80 nucleotides in length. Their secondary structure includes four short double-helical elements and three loops (D, anti-codon, and T loops). The record is from RNAcentral. Lineage: Eukaryota; Fungi; Ascomycota; Sordariomycetes; Magnaporthales; Magnaporthaceae.
GGGCGAAUGGUUUAGGGAUAUAACGUUCGCUUCGCAUGCGAAAGGUCCGGGGUUCGAUUCCCCGUUUGUCCA